UACGGAGGGUGCAAACGUUGCUCGGAAUUAUUGGGCGUAAAGCGCACGUAGGCGGACCAUCAAGUCGGAUGUGAAAUCCCUCGGCUUAACCGAGGACGUGCAUUCGAAACUGAUGGCCUUGAGUACGAAAGAGGAUCGCGGAAUUCCCGGUGUAGAGGUGAAAUUCGUAGAUAUCGGGAGGAACACCAGUGGCGAAGGCGGCGAUCUGGGUCGAUACUGACGCUGAGGUGCGAAAGCGUUGGGAGCAAACAGG
This 253-nucleotide ribosomal RNA is filed under the name uncultured bacterium. Its description in RNAcentral is "partial 16S ribosomal RNA". It matches the Rfam family "Bacterial small subunit ribosomal RNA", at positions 524 to 776 of the family's 1533-position model. The record is from RNAcentral.